AUGCACGCUGGCGGCGUGCCUAAUACCUGCAAGUCGAGCGAACAGAUGAGGAGCUUGCUCCUCUGACGUUAGCGGCGGACGGGUGAGUAACACGUGGAUAACCUACCUAUAAGACUGGGAUAACUUCGGGAAACCGGAGCUAAUACCGGAUAAUAUAUUGAACCGCAUGGUUCAAUAGUGAAAGACGGUUUUGCUGCCACUUAUAGAUGGAUCCGCGCCGCAUUAGCUAGUUGGUAAGGUAACGGCUUACCAAGGCAACGAUGCGUAGCCGACCUGAGAGGGUGCUCGGCCACACUGGAACUGAGACACGGUCCAGACUCCUACGGGAGGCAGCAGUAGGGAAUCUUCCGCAAUGGGCGAAAGCCUGACGGAGCAACGCCGCGUGAGUGAUGAAGGUCUUCGGAUCGUAAAACUCUGUUAUUAGGGAAGAACAAAUGUGUAAGUAACUAUGCACGUCUGGACGGUACCUAAUCAGAAAGCCACGGCUAACUACGU
RNAcentral lists this ribosomal RNA (495 nucleotides) under uncultured bacterium. Its description in RNAcentral is "partial 16S ribosomal RNA". It matches the Rfam family "Bacterial small subunit ribosomal RNA", at positions 29 to 506 of the family's 1533-position model. The record is from RNAcentral.